RNAcentral lists this long non-coding RNA (358 nucleotides) under Dromaius novaehollandiae (emu). Its description in RNAcentral is "lncRNA (ENSDNVG00000005437.1)". The record is from RNAcentral. Lineage: Eukaryota; Metazoa; Chordata; Aves; Casuariiformes; Dromaiidae.
UUUUGUUUGUUUGUUUGUUUUUAGGGUUUCGUUUUUGCACUGAAUGUAGCCAGGACGGAUCCUUGUGGGCUUUGGCAGCCCUUGGAAACUGUCAAAGGCAGUAUUUUGCAUUUCUGCAGAGUUUUGCACAGAUCCUGUUCCCAUGCAAACUGAUGAGGGAGAAAUACUGGAGGAAGGCAGUCCCAAGGUCAGUGAGGGCCUAUUUCUGAUUGCUGCUUCCAGCUGGCAGAACUGUGAAGUUUACACCCUCAUCUCUUGCCAGGAGAAACAGAUGGAACAUGAGGAUUUUGUAAUGGAAGGGCAUGGCAAGACUCCACCUCCUGGUGAAGAAAACAAACAGUGAGUCACAUGUUUAUUU